Molecule: ribosomal RNA, 660 nt
Filed under: uncultured bacterium
Lineage: Bacteria
Description: bacterial SSU rRNA
Rfam family: Bacterial small subunit ribosomal RNA
Source: RNAcentral
CUAACACAUGCGAGUCGCACGACGAGUUGCCGUGACGCUUCUGACCCAACUCACUGAAGUCCCAACGCCUUCGGGCAGCGGGACGGACGUGAUGCGGUGACGAAGCCGACCGGAUUUACACUCGGAGUGGCGAACGGGUGAGUAACGCGUGAAUAACCACCCCUUAGGUGGGGGAUAACCUUGCGAAAGCUUGGCUAAUCCUCCAUAUUUGUUGCUCCACAUAAGUGGAGUAAUGAAAGAUCCCUUGUGGAUCGCCAAAGGACGGGUUCGCGCCCCAUUAGCUAGCUGGUGAGGUAAAGGCUCACCAGGGCAAUGAUGGGUAGCUGGUCUAAGUGGACGAUCAGCCACACUGGGACUGAGACACGGCCCAGACUCCUACGGGAGGCUGCAGUGGGGAAUCUUGCACAAUGGUCGCAAGGCUGAUGCAGCGACGCCGCGUGGAGGAUGAAGGCCCUCGGGUCGUAAACUCCUACUCACAGGGAAGAAUAAGGACAUCAGGUAAUGGGUGUCCGAUGACAUUACCUGUGAAAUGAGCCCCGGCUAACUACGUGCCAGCAGCCGCGGUAAUACGUAGGGGGCAAGCGUUGUCCGGAAUCACUGGGCGUACAGGGAGCGCAGGCGGGCCGGUAGGUCUGAUGUGAAAGCCCCAGGCUUAACCUG